AGAGUUUGAUCCUGGCUCAGGACGAACGCUGGCGGCGCGCCUAACACAUGCAAGUCGAACGAGCGAGAGAGAGCUUGCUUUCUCGAGCGAGUGGCGAACGGGUGAGUAACGCGUGAGGAACCUGCCUCAAAGAGGGGGACAACAGUUGGAAACGACUGCUAAUACCGCAUAAGCCCACGGGUCGGCAUCGACCAGAGGGAAAAGGAGCAAUCCGCUUUGAGAUGGCCUCGCGUCCGAUUAGCUAGUUGGUGAGGUAACGGCCCACCAAGGCGACGAUCGGUAGCCGGACUGAGAGGUUGAACGGCCACAUUGGGACUGAGACACGGCCCAGACUCCUACGGGAGGCAGCAGUGGGGAAUAUUGCACAAUGGGGGAAACCCUGAUGCAGCGACGCCGCGUGGAGGAAGAAGGUCUUCGGAUUGUAAACUCCUGUUGUUGAGGAAGAUAAUGACGGUACUCAACAAGGAAGUGACGGCUAACUACGUGCCAGCAGCCGCGGUAAAACGUAGGUCACAAGCGUUGUCCGGAAUUACUGGGUGUAAAGGGAGCGCAGGCGGGAAGACAAGUUGGAAGUGAAAUCCAUGGGCUCAACCCAUGAACUGCUUUCAAAACUGUUUUUCUUGAGUAGUGCAGAGGUAGGCGGAAUUCCCGGUGUAGCGGUGGAAUGCGUAGAUAUCGGGAGGAACACCAGUGGCGAAGGCGGCCUACUGGGCACCAACUGACGCUGAGGCUCGAAAGUGUGGGUAGCAAACAGGAUUAGAUACCCUGGUAGUCCACACCGUAAACGAUGAUUACUAGGUGUUGGAGGAUUGACCCCUUCAGUGCCGCAGUUAACACAAUAAGUAAUCCACCUGGGGAGUACGACCGCAAGGUUGAAACUCAAAGGAAUUGACGGGGGCCCGCACAAGCAGUGGAGUAUGUGGUUUAAUUCGACGCAACGCGAAGAACCUUACCAAGUCUUGACAUCCUGCGACGGUUCUGGAAACAGAACUUUCCUUCGGGACGCAGAGACAGGUGGUGCAUGGUUGUCGUCAGCUCGUGUCGUGAGAUGUUGGGUUAAGUCCCGCAACGAGCGCAACCCUUAUGGUCAGUUACUACGCAAGAGGACUCUGGCCAGACUGCCGUUGACAAAACGGAGGAAGGUGGGGAUGACGUCAAAUCAUCAUGCCCUUUAUGACUUGGGCUACACACGUACUACAAUGGCGUUAAACAAAGAGAAGCAAGACCGCGAGGUGGAGCAAAACUCAGAAACAACGUCCCAGUUCGGACUGCAGGCUGCAACUCGCCUGCACGAAGUCGGAAUUGCUAGUAAUCGUGGAUCAGCAUGCCACGGUGAAUACGAACCCGGGCCUUGCACUCACCGCCCGUCA
RNAcentral lists this ribosomal RNA (1370 nucleotides) under uncultured bacterium. RNAcentral describes it as "bacterial SSU rRNA". It matches the Rfam family "Bacterial small subunit ribosomal RNA". The record is from RNAcentral.